AGAGUUUGAUCAUGGCUCAGAGCGAANNNUGGCGGCGUGCUUAACACAUGCAAGUCGAGUGCGCAGUUUCCUGUAGCAAUACAGGGGAUGGGCGCACGGCGCACGGGUGCGUAACACGUGGGUAACCUGCCCUCUGAUGGGGGAUAACCCCGCGAAAGCGGGGCUAAUACCGCAUGACAUUCCGAGAAUCUCGGUUCUUGGAUUCAAAGCCCGCAAGGGCGUCGGAGGAGGGGCCCGCGCCCGAUUAGCUUGUUGGUGAGGUAACGGCUCACCAAGGCUGUGAUCGGUAGCCGGUCUGAGAGGACGACCGGCCACACUGGAACUGAGACACGGUCCAGACUCCUACGGGAGGCAGCAGUGGGGAAUCUUGCGCAAUGGGCGAAAGCCUGACGCAGCGACGCCGCGUGGGGGAUGAAGCCUUCGGGGUGUAAACCCCUUUCGACCCGGACGAAUGGCCCGCAAGGGAGUUGACGGUACGGGUAGAAGAAGCCCCGGCUAACUACGUGCCAGCAGCCGCGGUAAAACGUAGGGGGCCAGCGUUGCUCGGAAUUACUGGGCGUAAAGGGUCCGUAGGCGGUGUGGCAAGUCGGGAGUGAAAUCUCAUGGCUUAACUGUGAGACUGCUUCCGAAACUGCUGUGCUCGAGUGCGGGAGAGGCGAGUGGAAUUGCCGGUGUAGCGGUGAAAUGCGUAGAUAUCGGCAGGAACACCCGUGGCGAAGGCGGCUCGCUGGACCGCAACUGACGCUGAGGGACGAAAGCUAGGGGAGCAAACAGGAUUAGAUACCCUAGUAGUCC
This 795-nucleotide ribosomal RNA is filed under the name uncultured bacterium. RNAcentral's name for it is "bacterial SSU rRNA". It matches the Rfam family "Bacterial small subunit ribosomal RNA", at positions 8 to 796 of the family's 1533-position model. The record is from RNAcentral.